Molecule: ribosomal RNA, 460 nt
Filed under: uncultured bacterium
Lineage: Bacteria
Description: partial 16S ribosomal RNA
Rfam family: Bacterial small subunit ribosomal RNA
Source: RNAcentral
CCUACGGGCGGCAGCAGUGAGGAAUAUUGGUCAAUGGACGAGAGUCUGAACCAGCCAAGUAGCGUGAAGGAUGACUGCCCUAUGGGUUGUAAACUUCUUUUAUAUGGGAAUAAAAUGUUCCACGUGUGGGAUUUUGUAUGUACCAUAUGAAUAAGGAUCGGCUAACUCCGUGCCAGCAGCCGCGGUAAUACGGAGGAUCCGAGCGUUAUCCGGAUUUAUUGGGUUUAACGGGAGCGUAGGUGGAUUGUUAAGUCAGUUGUGAAAGUUUGCGGCUCAACCGUAAAAUUGCAGUUGAAACUGGCAGUCUGGAGUACAGUAGAGGUAGGCGGAAUUCGUGGUGUAGCGGUGAAAUGCUUAGAUAUCACGAAGAACUCCGAUUGCGAAGGCAGCUCACUGGACUGCAACUGACACUGAGGCUCGAAAGUGUGGGUAUCAAACAGGAUUAGAUACCCUAGUAGUC